This 471-nucleotide ribosomal RNA is filed under the name uncultured bacterium. Its description in RNAcentral is "bacterial SSU rRNA". It matches the Rfam family "Bacterial small subunit ribosomal RNA", at positions 355 to 825 of the family's 1533-position model. The record is from RNAcentral.
UGGGGAAUUUUGGACAAUGGGGGCAACCCUGAUCCAGCAAUGCCGCGUGAGUGAAGAAGGCCUUCGGGUUGUAAAGCUCUUUUGUCAGGGAAGAAACGGUAGUAGCGAAUAACUACUACUAAUGACGGUACCUGAAGAAUAAGCACCGGCUAACUACGUGCCAGCAGCCGCGGUAAUACGUAGGGUGCAAGCGUUAAUCGGAAUUACUGGGCGUAAAGCGUGCGCAGGCGGUUGUGUAAGUCAGAUGUGAAAUCCCCGGGCUCAACCUGGGAAUUGCAUUUGAGACUGCACGGCUAGAGUGUGUCAGAGGGGGGUAGAAUUCCACGUGUAGCAGUGAAAUGCGUAGAUAUGUGGAGGAAUACCGAUGGCGAAGGCAGCCCCUGGGAUAACACUGACGCUCAUGCACGAAAGCGUGGGGAGCAAACAGGAUUAGAUACCCAGGUAGUCCCUGAGCGGGCUGGCAAGGCGCAU